This 108-nucleotide ribosomal RNA is filed under the name Periophthalmus magnuspinnatus. Lineage: Eukaryota; Metazoa; Chordata; Actinopteri; Gobiiformes; Gobiidae. The record is from RNAcentral.
AAGUGUGGGUAUACUAACUUGUCAAAGCCUGAUCUCAUCAGCUAAACAGGGCCUGGCCUGGUUAGUACUUGGAUGGGAGACUGCAGGUAACUCCAGGAGCCACAGUGG